Molecule: long non-coding RNA, 14044 nt
Filed under: Hordeum vulgare
Lineage: Eukaryota; Viridiplantae; Streptophyta; Magnoliopsida; Poales; Poaceae
Description: long non-coding RNA (HVUL_LNC007738)
Source: RNAcentral
UAGUUACUAGUUAUGGACCCGUAGGUCUAUGGUGAACUACUCACGCAUCAUCGGAGAGGUCAUGGUGUUGAUGAAGAAGCCCUCCGUGUUCGAAUCCCCCCUCCGGCAGGGCACCAGAAUGUGCCCCAGAUGGGAUCUUGCGGAGACAGAAGCUUGCGGCGGCGGAAAAGUACUUUCGAUGAUCUCUUGAUUUUUUCUGGAAUUUAUGGGAUUAUAUAGGCGAAAGAUCUAGGUCAGGGGACCUCCAGGGGGCCCACAAGCUUGGAUGGCGCACCCCCCUGGCCGCGGGGUGGGAGCUUGUGGGGCCCCUGGAGCUCCUCUAGCAUGGCUCCAAGUUCUCCGAUCUUCUUCCGUUCCAAAAAAAAUCUUUUCGGGGAUUUUCUUCCGUUUGGACUCCGUUUCAAAAUCUCCUCUGAAAGGGGUCAAAAACAUGGAAAAAAACAGGAACUGGCACUUGGCACUGAGUUAAUAAGUUAGUCCCAGAAAAUAUAUAAAAGGCAUGCAAAACAUCCAAAGUUUGACAAGAUAAUAGCAUGAAACCAUCAAAAAUUAUAGAUACGUUGGAGAUGUAUCAAAGCUCAACCUUAACAGGUCUUUACUGAACUGCUGGUAUGUCAAAACAGUGAUUGAAACGAAGGAACACAAUGUGCCAUUGAGAUCUGGUGGGGGAUUGUUGAAAUCUGUGAUGGGCCUUAGGCCCAUAAGAGAAUUUCGGAAACCUCCAAGGGCCCAUGUAGGCGGUGGCAUGACAAGGUGGUGGUGGGAAGUUUAGUCCCACCCCGCUAGUGGAGAAGAAGUUGGACCCCUUUACAACGGUCUCUCUUCUACAUGCUAUUGAAGAGUGAGAAGAUAAGAGGCCCUCGCGCACUCCUCCUCCGCCGCCCGCCUCGCCACGACGCGCCGCGGGAAUGAGCCAAGCCGAGCUCAUACCUACGCGCUUAUUUUUGCCGGUCAAGAACGAAGAAUACGCAACGAAUGCACCACGAUCUGAGACGUCAGAUCGUGGGUUGUUACCGACUCGGACGGGGGUUCAGCCCACGUCUCUCCAUCCGGCCGCCUAUAUAAGCAGGGCUAACGUCAACCCUAGCCGUCACAAGAUCAUAUCGCCUCUGCCUCACGCGCUCGUUACUUUUGCUGCUACUGCCGUCGGCGACUCCGUCCCGUUCACCGCGUACACAGUCGACGGGAGAGCAGGCCUCCAAAACCCCGCCUCUCCGGAUACUGUACGAGAGAGGGGCGAUUAGGUUUUCGGGCAGCGAUCACGCGACUGCUCGACUCCGUCCGUUUGUUUCGUCUACGUCCGCGUCUCCCUUGUCACUGCCAUGUCUUCGCCAAGAGAAGCUGGCUGUCUCCUCCUCGAGAAGGCCGAAGGCCAUGUCUUCGCCAAGCGAAGCUGGCCGUCUCCUCCUCGAGAAGGCCGAAGGCCAUGUCUUCGCCAAGCAAAGCUGGCCGUCUCCUCCUCGAGAAGGCCGAAGCGGAGAAGAAGGCGGCAGAGGAUGCCGUCGCCGCCAAUGCUGCUGUUACGGCCAAGUGGCCAAUCGGAGGGUAUAACCUAUUUAUCCCGCUCAUGUUUAUUUUUGCCCUAAUGGUACUAGCUAUAUGGGUAGAUGUUUCUGCUAUAUGCAUAGUAAUUGCUAGUAUCCUCUGUGAUUUGUAUGUCAUGAAUCUAGUCAAUGUCAUGUUAGUAAUUAUUUCAUGGAUUAAUCUACUCGGAAAAUUGACUAUUUAGUCAACAGUAUCUAGACCAUCAGAUCGAAGAAGAAUGGACAAGACGACCUAGGCACUGUAGAGUUUUGUUGUAGAUUUCAAAAAUACUAUGAUGUUUUUUUUAAUCAAACAAUCCUAUGCGUUCAUUUGGUGAAUUGAUGAAUGAGAUCCAUCCAAUGGUAGAAUGGGAUUUUUUCACGAUUUUGACCCAUGGGAUGAAAGUAUUGCACGGAAUGAACUCUGAUUGAAAACAUUUCACGAUCUGAUUUUUUUUAAACGCCAGAGCCCGUGGCGUUGCAGACGCACAUAGAAACGCCAAUGUAAUGUGGCGUUGCAGACCCACUCAAACGCCAGUCUAAUGUGGCGUUGCAGACCCACUCAAACGCCAGUCUAUGUGACGUUGCAAGCCACGCGUGAAACGCCAUGGUCCAUGGUGUUUCAUCAGUACACAUGUUGCUAGCAGCAUGCCGUGGGCUGGCUGGAUGUCGUCGCUGCGUUCCAUAGUGGGUCUGCAACGCCAGCACUGUUGGCGUUUCACAAUGGGCCUGCAACGCCACAUUAGACUGGCGUUGCAAGAAAGAAAUAACGCCACGGUAGACAGGCGUGUCACUGUUGGGCAGCAACACCAGCACUGUUGGCGUUUCACAGUGGGCCUGCAACGCCACUUUAGACUGGCGUUGCAAAAAAGAAAAAACGCCACAGUAGACAGGCGUGUCACUGGAGGGCAGCAACGCCAUGGUAGACAGGCGUUGCAUAGUGGGCAGCAACGCCACGGCUUGUGGCGUUUCUAAAAAGGUCAGAUCGUGAAAUGCUUUCAAAUCUGGUUCAUUUUGUGCUCAUGUUUAGAAAAAAGGUAAAAACAGUGAAAAAAUCCGGUAGAAUGCUCUAGGUCUGUACCAUCUUUUCUUCUGAACAAUCAUUUUUGUUAACACUAACCAUCUCUUCGAUCAACGUUGAAUAGAUCAUUGGUGCGGAUUCUCCACCAUGUGUUCUGGAUAAUCGAAUUUAAGUUUACAGAUUCAUGACGUGGCAGCUGCGACCUGUGAGCCUUUCGACAAAGAAAGUUCCACUUCACUACUGGGCAUGCCAUUGACAACAGGGCAUCACUGAGUUGUCUAAAGCUGAAUGUGCUCUCCCAACCCAGCCCACCCUGGUGCUCGUGUUAAUCUUUUCUAAAUCAAAAUGAUGCCGUUGUUGCUUAGGUUGGUUUUGUAGUUCCCGAGGACUUGAGCUGCACAUGUACUCCCUCUGUUCCUUUUUCUUUUUUGAGACUUCACUAAGUAACUAAUUCCUCCGUUCUUAAAUACAAGUAUUUUUAAAGAUUUCAUUAAAAGACUACAUACAGAUUUAUAUAGACAUGGUUUAGAGCGUAGAUUCAUUUAUUUUGUUUCAUAUGUAGUCUUCUAGUAAAAUCUUUAAAAAAAACUUAUAUUUAGAAAUGGAGGGAGUAUAUACAAAGAAAAAUUAGUGAAUCUAUAUUUUAAAGUAUGUCUAUAUAUAUUCAUAUGUUUUUUUAAUGAAACCUUUAUAAAGACUUAUAUGUAAAAACGGAGGGAGUAUGUACAUAGUCUGCCUUUGUUCAAUUUGGAUGUCAACUCUCCCUUGGCCAUUGAUUUUUAGACAUUAUUAAGGAAAAUACUUAAUAUAUAAUGGUAUAUCAUGACUUCUGUUGCCAAAUUCAGCAGCAUAUUUUUCAUUUGGAAAAAUUAAAGAAUUAUAUAUUUGCAUUAUUUGCCUACUUUCAUUUGCUUUAGCACAUUGGGUUAGUAGAAUCAUUUCGAGUAGCCAUAAAUAUUUUAAGACGCGGUUGAAAAUAUACGGUACCCACAUUUAAGCAUAUAUCUGCGGUCAAAAGAUUGUCAUGCAUGCAUUCCAAAGCUCUGGGCACCAUACAUUUGUCAAAUAGUACUCCAGUAUUAUGGAAAUUCUGAAGAACAUGCAUUAUUCCAUAAGCGGACAGACCACACGUCAGCUAGCUUCUCUCAGUAGUUCAAAUCGUGCCUUAUAGUCCUUUCAUCCCCCCCCCCCCCUGNAGCUAGCUAGCUAGCUUCCGUCGCCGACGUCGACUCCUGCGAGGACGAGCAGGGCGACCGCCAGGACGGACGGGGCGGCGUCAGGGGAAGGGCGGCCGACGUUCGGGAACGUUCGAGGCGACGUAUGAUGUACAUGUACAACGAACGCGGAAGUUUCUGUGGCAGUUGGACUCCCGCCAACUGCUUUCUCUCGAUACAGGCCACCGUCGAAACGGACGCGAAAACUGUGUUUUUGUAAAUCAGGAGAAGCCUUUUACCACGUCCCGUAAAAAAUUUACGGAUCUAUCGCGUUUGCAUGAUCUGAUCGGACAGUUUUUGUCGCGUGAACCUGUAUUUUAAUUGUUAUUUUCAGGGACGAAUCUAGGGGGGUGGGAGGGGGGCUAGUGGCUGUUGUAGCAAAAAGAAAUUCAUUUCAUAUGAACUUUUCCCCUUCCAUGAACAAACUUCCCGCCUUAUACAUGCAUGAUGGUUCUGUCCCUGGUUAUUUUAUACUCCCUCCGUUUCUAAAUAUAAGUCUUUUAAGAGAUUUUAAUAGGGGUCUAUAUACGGAGUAAAAUGAAUGAAUCUACACUCUAAAAUAUGUCUAUAUACAUCCAUAUAUAGCGAAUAUUGCUUUUGGCUCUGGAGCUCACUAGAGGCCUUUAAAUUCAAACUUCAAAUUCAGUGAAAAUUUGUAUUUUAAUGUUUCAAAAAAUUCUGAAAAAAAUACAUAGAUAAAUGAAGGUAUAAUACACAAGUGUGUAAAUUUUCAGAACAAAAUACAUUGAAAUGUGGGCUGUGCAAAAAAGACAAAUCUGAGGCUGUUUAACACAUGUUACUAUUCAUCAUUUCAGACCAUGAAUUUGUCUUUUUUAUACAGAUCACGUUUUAAAGUAUUUUGACCUGAAAUUUUACACACACAUGUCGGUUACAUCCUUACAUACAUGCAUAUUUUUUUUCAGAAUUUUUUGAACCAUAAAAAUUUGAAUUUGAAUUUUUCAAAAAUAAAAGCCUCCGUGGCUCCCGGGAGCCAAAACGUCAUUCUCCAUAUAUAGUCCACUAGUAGAACCUCUAGAAAGACUUAUAUUUAGAUACGCACGGAGUAGAUGGGGCAUUAUCAAUAAUGCUAGACAUACAAAAACUUACAAAGGUUUACUCAACCUUUCAAACUAACUCUUCUCUCCCCCCUGAUUUUCAGUAAGGGUGGGGCCCCUCAUCCUUCAAUUACCAAUCACAAUCUUAUACAUCAGUUUAUACGUAAAAUCUUUACGUAAGCCUUUGUAUGUGUAACAUUACUCGGGCAUUAUAGGUGGUGUGCUAGCCUCUUACCCGAGCGGGUACCUACCCCUACGUGGCCUUCUUUGUCCGCGCGCGCGCACACAGUACACAAUGCGCGCACCAAUUAUCCGCAACAACGGCCGGCCCCCGGACCCACUAUGAGCUUCUGUUGUAACCGCCGGUAUGAUCCGUCUCGCCUGGCUCGUCCUAUAAAUAGGGCGCGGCGCCUGGCCAUGGAAGAUAUCUCUCCAUCCGCACACAUCUUGCACUACUACUUGCUAGAUACGCACCUGUCUCGCAGUUGACGCUAGCUAGCUUACCUAGCUCCAUCCGCACACAUCCAUGGCGGCUCGCAUCGGCGCUGUCGUGCUCUGCAUGUUCUUGAUCGUUAGCGCGGGGCUGGUAGCCACGCCGGCCGAAGCUCGCGCCGUGCCGGAGGCCGUCUACGCCGCCGCGGUCGCCAAUGCAGCCGGCGGCGGUGGCGUCCGUCGUGGGAGGUGGAACAGCGCGAGGAGGCUGGAGGGUGACGCCGCCCGGAAGCGGGAGGUGCCCGGCGGCCCGGACCCGCAGCACCAUCACUAGAGAAAGUGUGUGAUCAGCUGCGACGUGCCAGGCCAACGUACGUACGUACAUAAUGCAAAUGAACUCCCGUGGAGCGUCGGAUUUGGGUCAGUAUUUGAAGAAAGUACAGUUUGCAUUUGGUUCAGGGAGCCGUGUGUGUUGCCGCUCCGUUCAUUUAAUUUGCGUACUUUAUAUGAACGCAAAAAUGGUAGUACGACCGAGUUGUAAUAAGCAAACGCAGAUAAUAAUACUUCUGUGUUUGCAAUGAUCUACUGUAUCGGUGAAGACUGGAUUGUUCCUUUUUAAUUAGCCUGGUCAUCUCCUACGUGGUGUUUGGAUAAUAUAUUGUUCCUAACGUACGGUGUCGAUCGCGACCUUUCACUUGAGAGGUUGAUCAUGGCAUCAUGCACGAUGAACGUCUGCAUGCGGAUCUACUUUUGUGGUCGGCCGACGCACAUUAUUUUGUUUUAUAUUUAAAAAAAUAAGUACGUGCAACUUUCCAGUGAGUGUGACCGUAAACCGACUGUAAUCACGAACCGCUACCCCAUGAUACAUGAGGUUAGCAAAAUUAAAAUUCAAAAGACUGUAAUCACGAACCGCCAAUGGGAUCGGCGGCGCGUCAUCUGGCUCAUCGUGGUAGGCUCAGAAAGACCAGUGAGUAGUGGAGAGAUAUACUUUCCAUCAAGAUCGGCGAACGGGCGGAACAACGGAACGAGAGCCUGGGCUGGGGCCGACGGCAUGGUGCGGAUCGAGCAUGGCAGCCGUCUUUCCUACACGGAAUCCCCUCCAGCUCGCUUCAUCCUUGUGCAUAAAAUGCAUGCCACGGCCUAUAGUAUAUAGACAUAUUUUAAAAUAUAGAUUUAUUUUAAUUUAUUUUAUAUGUAAUCUGUAGCAGAUCUAAAAAAAUAUAUAUUAGAAAACGGAGGGAGUAGCUUUUGAUUUAGGUUAUUCCGUUCAUACAUAAUUUAUCCAAAAUUAAUCUUUAAAAUCCUGCAGGAACGCGCGGGGAAACCACCUUGUUUAUUGAAUCAUCUAGUUCAACUUCUUCCUCCAUUUGGAACUGAUAUCAUAGGGGGAGUGGGGGUGCUGCUUAAACUACUCCCACCUUCAUGUUCACGUGGUCUAUAAGAACUUGCACGUCCUUGAUGUGAAAGAAAAUCACAACUUUGUAGCCCUCGUGAGCGCAACCUCUCUUUCUAUCAAGGUGGUUGUCAUCAUGCGAGCAAGGUAGUGGUGGGCGGCAGGGAAGCACUCUGGCUUGACGGUUGAUUCAACCUUGUGGUGUGUGUCCUCCUCGACCGAGUCGAACCACAACCAAGCUCUUUCCCAGAAUUUUCUCUCGGCAUGGUCCUCUUCAAUUUCGUCGGGGAAAGGUCCACAAGGAGGGCUCGACCACCGUGACAUGGUGGAUGAAUGGGGUGAGUGUGUCCGCAAAGGAGAAGAUGGGUGAGGAGUAGCACCAAUGGACAAGGAAGAUGCAUCAAGAGUGGCGUUGUCGAGUGGGGUGGGCCGGUUUGUAUACCCACGAAUGGGCACACUCUGGUGUGAAACGAGGAUGAAUUUGAUGUGUACAUGUGGAAAUGGGUGUGAAACGUGGUGACGGCUAUUAAGAGCAUCUCCAGCUGCACCCCCAACAGGCCUCCUGGGCGUGUUCUUUUCCGCCGGCGUUGAGAAAUUGCCCCAGUUGUGCCCCUGGGACAUCGAUUUUCGCCGGUUGGGCCCAUUUUCUGGCCCGACGAUCCCAGGCCGAACCCAGUGCACCGGGAGGCGCUUGGGGGCUCCGGCGUAACGGAAAAUGGCGUGUGGGCCGCCACUGUUAUGCAAAAACGGUUUUCCACCUCCAGAUCCCCUCCGCCCGCGCACUAGACCUUUCAUCGCCUUGCCGAUCCCGACAACGCCCACCUACAUACCGUCGCUAGAAAGGCCAUCUCCCCGACGAGAAAGGGAGAGUUCGCUGCGGCUUCGCCCCCUUGCUUCUGGGCAAGCUUUUUCGAUGCUCUGGCCACGCACGCGGGCGCGUGUCUGCCACGCCCGCCACGUGUUCGGCGAUGGACUCUGACGACGAGGAGGCAUUCGUGGCGUUGCUGGAGGAGGAAGCCGAUGCUGACGCCCAGGACGAAGAGCACCUCAGGGUCCUCGCCGCUCUGGCCGGCCAGUUCGGGAGCAACGCAAAGCCGCGGCGAGGUGGCUCGACGUCGGGUCGACUGAAGGAAAAAACAGAGGCAUCGACUGGAAGGCUAUUACUUGCUCUACACCAACUACUUCGUCGACACUCCUCUACAUGGUGACAAAGUACUUCGGCGCCAUUAUCGGAUGAGCCAGAAGCUCUUCCUCAGGAUUGUGAAAUCCAUCACGGAGUUCGACAAUUGCUUCAAGUGCAAAAAGAAUUGCACCGACACAUUUGGAUUCACCUCACUCCAGAAGUGCAUGGCAUCUAUGGGGAUGCUUGCAUAUGGAGCUCCCGGUGAUAUUCUGGAAGACUAUAGACGCAUGGACGAGUCCACCAUCAUUGAGUCUUUGUACAAGUUCUGCAGGGCAAUGGUGGCAGUGUUUGGACCUCAAUACUUGCGAUCACCCAAUGCUGAAGACACUGCUCGGAUCCUAGCACAGAAUGCAGCAAGAGGAUUUCCUAUGAUGCUUGGAAGUAUCGAUUGCGUGCAUUGGAAAUGAAAAAACUAUCCAUUUUCUUGGCAGAGGAUGUACAAAGGCGUCAAAGGAGGUUGCAAUGUGGUACUUGAGGCAGUGGCCACAUAGGACCUCUGGAUUUGGCACUCCUUCUUUGGUAUGCGAGGAACUCAUGAUGACAUCGACGUACUGCAGUGCUCAAAUGUCUUUGCCAUGCUUGUUGAAGGUCAUGCUCCCCCGAUUAACUACGCGGUCAAUGGACGCCACUACAACAAGGGAUACUACCUAGGAGAUGGCAUAUAUCCGAGAUGGUCCACAUUUAUGAAGAUUAUCUCAAACCCUGGCCAGGAGGCAAGAACUCCUACUUUGCCAAUCGCCAGGAAGUUUACAGGAAGGAUGUCGAACGGGCAUUUGGUGUGCUUCAAUCUCGAUUUGCUGUUGUCCGGCACCCCGCUCAGACCUUGUCAAAAGAUCAAAUGUGGGAAGUCAUGACUUGUUGUGUCAUCUUGCACAACAUGAUCACUGAGAGCUAGCAGGAAGAGCUAGUGUUCGACAGUGAACCAUAUUACAGCAGGGCCCUCUUGCCCAAGUUGAUCACUAGCUACCGACAACCUGGACUGGCUUCCUCAACAUGCGUCAGGAGAUCCGAGACUCACAGGUGCAUCAACAACCGCAUCACAAUUUGGUGGAGCACCUAUGGAGGCUCAAGGGCAACGCCUAGCUCGAUGUGCGGUGAAUUAUGAGUUUUUUAUUUGUUGAACCAUUUUUAUUUGUAUUGAUUUCUGCGAUGAACUAUGUGAUGAAAAAUAAGCAUUUUCUGAAUUUCUGCCGAAGCACGCUGAAUAUGGGCCAAAAUUAAUAGAAUUUUGCAUCAAAAGUGGCCCAAUUGCGCCGAAAGGUGACCAAAAUCGGCGGUUAUGGGCAACCUUGGGGGGGGGACUAGAAACCCAAGGUCCCCCACGCCGAUUUUUUCACCGACGCACCCCGAGGCGACGCUAUUCCUAGUGAAAAAGAGGUUGCGAGCAGCAAAAGUGGAGGCGGCAACCAUACUAAUGGUUGUGACAUUAGAAAGAGUACGCGUCGGAGGAAGAAAAUAGACUAAACCUCCCUCCGGCCUGGGUGAAUGGAUUUGGAGCUCGAUUCAUACCAGCGCUAGACUCCAAAGCUCCAAAAAAUUGGAGACCUAGGCCGAUAUGGCGACUCUUUUUUCACACCUCGAAUGUCAGCAAACAUUUGUUAUGGCAAUUUCUUGACUCGGUUAGAGUUAGUUGCUCUUAGUAAAGUUACCAUGUAACACAAUUCUCACUUCCAUGUACGUCAUAUCAAACAUGUGGACGGAGGGAAGCAUGUUUUCCAAUCAGUGGCUUGCCCACAUUGAAGUUACAGGUUAGGCAAUUGAGGACAUCAAGCUAUAUGAUCUUUCAAUUUUACCCAUGGUUAUGAGUACCCAUCGCAACCUCACCCUCAUGGGCAUGUUUUGGACACAUUUUUGUGGCUAUGGGUACCAUUCGAACCAUUGCCUGGUUAGUCAUGGAUAUAGUAUGGGUACACUUUUUUUCGAAUGGGUAUGUACGAACCCGACCUGACAAGCUGCGAUGUGGGGCCAUACUAUUGUUUCCGUUCUCAAACUAUUAAAGUCAUACACAUUAAUCGUGUGAUGUGUGUUUAUGCAUGAAGCCUUUUGUUCAAAUUCUUGAAGUCCUUUGUUUAAGCUACUAAACUAAUUUUAUUUGACCAUGCCAUUAGUCUGAGUUGAGUUUCUUAUUUCGGUAAAAAAAUACUACUGAAUGCCAAUAUAUUUCAAUAAGUAUGUUGAGCUGCCUGUUGGAUACCAAUCAGGCAAUUGCCCCUCGAGUACGGUCAUGAGCAUGGUUUUGCGCCUCUCGGUAUGGGUGUGGGAUUGUUGUACUCAACCCAUUGCCAUCCUUAUGGAUGAUUUUCGAUUUUCAUUAUUUUCACUAGUAGUAUUGCAUAGUUUGUAAUUUUAUUUAGUUUUAUUAGUUUCCAUUGUUUUUUCGUGUGUACAUGUGUUUUGGAGUAACAUAGAACCCAGCACGAUGAAAAGGCAAAGGAUGGGUUCAAUAUAGAGGACUUCGAGGCACCAGGCUUACAAAUUUUGAAUGUCAAAAAUGAAAGAAAACAAAGUGCUCCAAAUUAAUAUCUAAUACCACAGGUGCAUCGGCGGCGUUGAUACAAUUCCAACGAUCCCAAGAACAUCAAAAUUUGAGUUUGUAUGAAGAAAUGACGAUUGUUUUACCGGAGGAGCACUUAAUGGCGUGUGGUAUGAGCAUGCCGCUCGUACCAAUUCCAGACAAGAUUGUAAAGGUUUAGAUCAGACGGGAUUCUUCACCAAUUUUGUCCCCGUUUGUCCCUGAAACUUCCUUGUCUAUUAAGGAAUGUUUUGAGAGAAGAUUAGGCUUAUCUAGAUACCUUAGAUCAAAGGAGAAAACCUACAUCUAGGAAGGAGGCUUUGGGAGAUACCUUAUAUAUGCACCUCCAACCCUAGCUGCUUGCAUCAUCAGUCAUUCAUCCAAGAUCAAUCUCAUCUCCAUUAAGUUAUGGUCUAGGACCACCUCCAUAGAGUAAGAAGGUCCAAGACGAGGAAAGGAAGAGGAGGCUCCGCCACUGCACCAUCUCCACCGACGGCGUCACCACCAUCUCCAUCGUCGGCGCUACCUCUAUCAUGACAUGCUCCUCUCCUUCACCGGCUCCAUGCGAGCUUGUAACGCACCUCCCCCCUCUAUGUUACCCCUUCGUAUGUUUGAGUAAUUGGACUAGUUCUUGAGGAUUUGGAUGAACCCUUGCAUGAUUAUCACUUAUUGUUUACAAGUGAUCAGAUCAUUCUCUUUAUAUAUGUUGUGUUGAUUUUAUCAUGGUGUUUUGAAGAGGGAUCACUCAACAUUAGCCCCUCGUGGGAGGGUAUUAUUAUUGGUGUGAAUGACUAUUGUGGAGGUUUGUAGUUACAAUGUACAUUACGGAUAUUUUUCCCGGAUCAUCGCAAUGGGGAGUAACGAAGAACAUAAAGCUUUAUGUCAUGUUCAUGGGGAAACACUUAAUCACCAUAGUGUUAGUGGGGAUACACUGGUGAUGGCGGGCGUCAUACAUCGUUGUUGUUGGUAAGAAUGUAUCUUUGUCUUGCUCCGCCCACACAUAAUCAUAUUCAUGUGAAUUAGUGAUACAAACAUAGAGCUAUGCAUUCACAUGUGUUGUCAGCAUUAUGUAUGGUGAUGACUACGAAACCUUUGAGAAUGCUUUACUACUCAAGCACCAUCCGCUUAGUUUAGCUCCCUUCUAUUUUUCUUCUUUUAUAUUUUUGUUUGUAGUUUAGGAAAACCACCCUUUUUAUUUGUCUUCCUAGCAACCAACUAAAGUAGACCAUUUCUAAACUUUGGUUUGGGUGCGUACAGAACCGCCUAGGUCAUGACAUAGGUGUUGGGUUACUAUUGCCUUCCUUUUCGUUUUAUGUGGAUUUGACAGUCUAUUUUUGACAGUCUAUUUACCGUGAAAGUGCUACAACACUCUCUUGUUCUUGCAUGACAUCACUUGCUUGUUCUUUAACUUUCUCAAUUUUAUGAAAAACAAGCAUCCUCGUGUAUAUAAGUGUCUUCCCAUUUUUAGUGCUCCCGACAAAUUUGAAAAAAAAACUCGUUUCAAACUUUAAUUGCUCCAUUUUCCUGCUUGAAAAGAAGACAUAAUUUUGUCCAAAGACAAACAUUGCAAAGUUUGGUCAAGUCUAUAGGGGAAUCAUUCAACAUAUCAAAACAAUGUUAUAUUGUGUAUUUAAUGAUGCUAUGUUAGUAAAACAGUUGUUAAUAAUUUUUUCUGUAAGCUUGGUCAAAGUUUGAACCGUUUUUAUCUGAGACAAAAUUUAUACAACUUCUUUUCAAGCACAUGGAGUACUUCAAUAAUACCGUGAACUUUGUAUUUUUACUCACGGUCUUUACUUUACACUACAUAACAUUUAUUGACUUGUCUCUACAAGAAAAACCUGCACCUAUGAACUUGACUCUUAGUAAAGUACACAUUAUAAUUGUUUAGAAGGUUUCACAUAAGUCUUGAGAAUUGGAGGCAUACGUACUUUCUCUUGACGGGUUCGACCCUCAUUAGUUUCUCAUCCAUAAUUUAAAAGUGUUACAAUUAUCCCUAUCACUUGGCGGUUAAUCAUUGCCAACUUCGAGAAUGGUGUUUUUCCUGCUAGGCUUCCUUGUCUAAUGUCCAGAACUUCUAGGUUACGUUGCUUUUUCGUCCAAUUGUCAGCUGAUUUUGGAGGCUACUUAAAUAAGGCACCUACACACCUUCAAAGGGUAGAAGCUCCGCGACCCUUUGUUGUGGGAGAACUCCAUUUUGCUUCUCUGUGUUAUUACUCUUUUUCCUUAGUACUUCGUUGAACAUCUUUGCCAAAGGGUUCUUUCUAGCUGACCUAUGCAAGUUAUUAUUACCCUUGGAGGUUGAACGUCCCCUCGACAAUUGGUCUCACAUUUAAGCCUUCAUUGUGCAAACGAGCUAAAAAGUUUGUGAAGCUUGGGAGCACGCCCACUUCAUGUGGAGGUCUACCAAAGUGAUUGGUCAUGAGUUUUGUGUCCUAAGCCAAGAAGGUAUAGGUGGGACUUGGUGAUAGAGGUCUUUGUGACCUUAGGACUUUCCUAGCCUCCCCAAUUAUGGCAUAUGAUUCUGCAAAGGAUCUGAACGUCGAAUAGAUCUUGUGUUCCUUAUUCCUUGUUUCUGUCCAUUUACCUUUUGAAGGUUAAUUCUGCACCAGUAUUUACUUAGACUUGCACCAUGGGAUGCUUUAGAGGAGUGGCGGCGCCAAGAAAUGAAGGUUGGGUAUUCAUCCAAUUUUUUUUCCUCUAAAUGUAGUAUAUGAACCAAACAACACAACAUAAUAAAACAACACUAGCAUAACGGCAAUAGCAAUAUUUCAAUGUAUCAAACCAUAAUGACAUGAAUACAUAAGUACCUUUUGAUUGACAAAGUGAUGAUAUCCUUCUUACAAUAUAACUCUGCGGUCGCCUUUUUGGAAGAGAUUGAUGCCAUCUUCAUCCUUCACUUGAUUGAAAGAGGUCUUUGUGUGGAUGUAAAAGUUAUUUUCCUUGCCUUUGAAGAUUUGUCCCACAAUUUAAAUAGGCUAACAUCCUUUUUUCAUCUACAUCAUAGAUCACAUAAACGAAGUACAAAUUAAUGGCAUGGCAAUAUGAAUGGCUUCUACUCCUUAUAGCAAUCAUAGGCAGUGGCAUUUAUAAAAAAAUCUUCAGAUUUCUUAAAUAAAUAGAGGGCAAAAAAAACCUUGUUGGACUUGGAGCAGCGUAGUACUGGAGCGGUGGAGGUAGAAUGGUGUGUGGUGGUCGUCUGGUGGAGCCGUGGAAGGCGCCAACCGCCAGGCCAGCGGCAGCAGGGGUGGCCGGUCGGCCGGGGGUCCGGUGAAAGGGAUCCCGAGCCGGUCCGGCCACCCGGGGAGGCCGGGUCGUCGGGAGGCGGUCAGGCAGAGGCCGGAGGGGCCUUAAGGGAGAGCCGGAGAGGGUCAGGCGCCCGACGCCAGGCCGGAUUGGAGGAGAGGAAGAGGGCCGACCGCUGCGGCCCGCGGGUAGGUUAGGGUUGGGGGCUUGGGGCGGGAGGAGAGGGAUCGAGGGGAGGGAUCGAUGUUUCAGCGCCUCGGGCUGGCUCGCGCGGGUUACGAGACGUCCUCGCCGGCUCACUCUUCUGUCCAGCUGAAUUAAUAUGCCUAUUCAAAAAAUGAGCGAAAAUCUUGAGUAUUCCAGAGAAGUCCCAGGAAUGCCCCAACGCCGCCCCUGCUUUAGAGGUGCUAAUGGGCAUCUAGCACAUAAAUACAUCCUAACCCCAACGCAAUGCCAUUACAAUUGUUC